RNAcentral lists this ribosomal RNA (520 nucleotides) under uncultured Glomus. RNAcentral's name for it is "SSU rRNA". It matches the Rfam family "Eukaryotic small subunit ribosomal RNA", at positions 569 to 1087 of the family's 1831-position model. Lineage: Eukaryota; Fungi; Glomeromycota; Glomeromycetes; Glomerales; Glomeraceae. The record is from RNAcentral.
AGCAGCCGCGGUAAUUCCAGCUCCAAUAGCGUAUAUUAAAGUUGUUGCAGUUAAAAAGCUCGUAGUUGAAUUUCGGGACCAAUCUGCCGGUCGUGCCUCGGUACGUACUGGUAUUUUUGGUUUCUCCCUUCUGACGAACCUUGAUGUCAUUAAUUUGGUGUCUUGGGAAAUCAGGACUGUUACUUUGAAAAAAUUUAGAGUGUUUAAAGCAGGCAAUUAGCUUGAAUACAUUAGCAUGGAAUAAUGAAAUAGGACGUUUGAUCCUAUUUUGUUGGUUUUCUAGGAUCGACGUAAUGAUUAAUAGGGAUAGUUGGGGGCAUUAGUAUUCAAUUGUCAGAGGUGAAAUUCUUGGAUUUAUUGAAGACUAACUACUGCGAAAGCAUUUGCCAAGGAUGUUUUCAUUAAUCAAGAACGAAAGUUAGGGGAUCGAAGACGAUCAGAUACCGUCGUAGUCUUAACCAUAAACUAUGCCGACUAGGGAUCGGAUGAUGUUAAUUUUUUUAGUGACUCAUUCGGCGCC